UACGUAGGUGGCAAGCGUUGUCCGGAUUUAUUGGGUUUAAAGGGCGCGUAGGCGGUCUAUUAAGUCAGUGGUGAAAUACUCCAGCUUAACUGGAGGGGUGCCAUUGAUACUGAUGGGCUUGAGUGAAGUCGAGGUAGGCGGAAUUGACGGUGUAGCGGUGAAAUGCUUAGAUAUCGUCAAGAACACCAAUAGUGAAGACAGCUUACUAGGCUUAUACUGACGCUGAGGCACGAAAGUGUGGGGAUCAAACAGG
Molecule: ribosomal RNA, 253 nt
Filed under: uncultured bacterium
Lineage: Bacteria
Description: partial 16S ribosomal RNA
Rfam family: Bacterial small subunit ribosomal RNA
Source: RNAcentral